Molecule: ribosomal RNA, 460 nt
Filed under: uncultured bacterium
Lineage: Bacteria
Description: partial 16S ribosomal RNA
Rfam family: Bacterial small subunit ribosomal RNA
Source: RNAcentral
CCUACGGGUGGCAGCAGUGAGGAAUAUUGGUCAAUGGACGAGAGUCUGAACCAGCCAAGUAGCGUGAAGGAUGACUGCCCUAUGGGUUGUAAACUUCUUUUAUAUGGGAAUAAAAUGUUCCACGUGUGGGAUUUUGUAUGUACCAUAUGAAUAAGGAUCGGCUAACUCCGUGCCAGCAGCCGCGGUAAUACGGAGGAUCCGAGUGUUAUCCGGAUUUAUUGGGUUUAAAGGGAGCGUAGGUGGAUUGUUAAGUCAGUUGUGAAAGUUUGCGGCUCAACCGUAAAAUUGCAGUUGAAACUGGCAGUCUUGAGUACAGUAGAGGUGGGCGGAAUUCGUGGUGUAGCGGUGAAAUGCUUAGAUAUCACGAAGAACUCCGAUUGCGAAGGCAGUUCACUGGACUGCAACUGACACUGAGGCUCGAAAGUGUGGGUAUCAAACAGGAUUAGAUACCCUUGUAGUC